UGGGGAAUAUUGGACAAUGGGCGCAAGCCUGAUCCAGCCAUGCCGCGUGAGUGAUGAAGGCCCUAGGGUUGUAAAGCUCUUUCACCGGUGAGGAUAAUGACGGUAACCGGAGAAGAAGCCCCGGCUAACUCCGUGCCAGCAGCCGCGGUAAUACGAAGGGGGUUAACGUUGUCCGGAUUUACUGGGCGUAAAGCGCACGUAGGCGGACUUUUAAGCCAGGGGUGAAAUCCCGGGGCUCAACCCCGGAACUGCCUUUGAUACUGGAAGUCUUGAGUAUGGUAGAGGUGAGUGGAAUUCCGAGUGUAGAAGUGAAAUUCGUAGAUAUUCGGAGGAACACCAGUGGCGAAGGCGGCUCACUGGACCAUUACUGACGCUGAGGUGCGAAAGCGUGGGGAGCAAACAGG
This 404-nucleotide ribosomal RNA is filed under the name Actinomycetes bacterium. RNAcentral's name for it is "Actinobacteria bacterium partial 16S ribosomal RNA". It matches the Rfam family "Bacterial small subunit ribosomal RNA", at positions 355 to 776 of the family's 1533-position model. Lineage: Bacteria; Bacillati; Actinomycetota; Actinomycetes. The record is from RNAcentral.